UUUUCGAUACGAAUGGAGUUCGGGAUAAGGCCGAAUAUGAUAACCUUUCUAUACUUUUUUCAACUUGUGUUUCGAUGUUAACUUUCUUUAGUUUAUAAUUUGCAAGGCUUACAAAAAAUCCACUACUGGUAUAAAAAGAUUAGAAAUGACUUUAAAAAUAAGAAAGAUAACAUUUUACUGAGUUUUACAUUUUUUUUUUUAAUAAGUACCCAUGGAACUGGACGGAAUCAUUUUUAUUGAAAUCAAAAUUUUGCAAACCUAGAAUAAAAAAGAAAUUCAAAUUGGCAAUAAAAUCCGUUCUUCUACAACACUGGAAAUGGAAUUCUUGGAUUGCGCGCGUGGAACUUUACCUACUCUUACCCAAAUAUAAUUUUAAAUACCAAAUUUUAAUUUGAAAAUAUCUCUCAAUUCAGCAUAAAUUAAUUUUUGCAAUAGUUAAAUAUUUCCGAAAACUAAAACAAUACAUAAACACAAAUGUGCCAAACAAAAAAAAAGAUAAAAGGUACCCAUCUGAUCAAUCUUGUCUAAUCUUAAAAAAAGAAUACAUAAAGAGAUAUUAUAAAGUAUUUUCUUUUAUACAAAAAAAAAAAAAAACAAAAAAUUACUCCGAAACAAUCAGAAACACAAACACAGAGAGAGACAGACAAAGUUAAAAACAAAACAAACAAAAUAUUACACAAAACCACAGUUAAAUAGAAAUCAAUACAAUGAAUAUACGAGUAGUAAAUAAAAUUUAACAAAUUAAAAAAAAACAAUAAUUUUGUUAAUGUAUAUAAAAAAAAUGUAGUAAGUUUUUGAAUUGUAUUUGUAUUAUCGCAUACAAAAAUGGAAGAGACCAGUAAUGUAACUUAUAAAAAAAAAAAAUACCAAAUUAAGAAAAAAACAUAAAAAUAUCAUUGAAUGAAAUGCAUAUAUUUCCAUAUUGAAUAUGAAAUUGACAAAAAAAAAAUAAAAAUGAAAUAUUUAACAAUACCGAAAGACAAAAGAAAUCUAAGAAAAUGACGAAAAAUUUAUUUUCAUAUGUGAAAAUGUAAAACAAACAAAAAAAAAAUAAAUGUAAUUAAAAAUAAAAAUUAAAAGCUAAAAAUUUUCGUUAAAAAUUAAAUUUAAAAAAAAAAGUAAAACAAAAUGUUAAAUACAAAAUGGCUUACAUAAAAAUAAAAUUUAUUUUUACAAAUCUACGCAAAAAAUAAAACUGUAAUUCCAUAUUUUUGUUACGUUAAUUUAAAAAAAAAAAACUUAAAACAAGAAAGUAAAAUUUAUUUAUUUAGUCAAAUUGAUCGCUAAUUAAAUGUCGUGAAAGCAUCUAAUUUUUAGUUUACCUAUAUAGAAUGUAAGAUAGAUUUAAAAAAACAAAAAAAGAAAGAACCAUAGUUUUAAGUAAAACAAGUAGAAACAAGGAGAUUAGAUUUCAAUAUGAAAAGUAAUAGUAAUCAAGUAUAUAGGCUAAGGAUAUUUGUUUUAAAAUUUAAAAGAAAAACAUAAAACAAUUUAUUCCACUACAAAAGCAUUAAGUUUUCUUAUUUAUAUAUUUUUUUUAAAACAAUAUUGAUAAAUAUGAAACAUAUUUUUUAAGUGAAGAAUUUAAAUAAGAAAAAAAAAACAACAGUAGACGAAUGACUAAGAUUAAAAAACAAAAA
Long non-coding RNA from Episyrphus balteatus (marmalade hoverfly), 1640 nucleotides. RefSeq lists it as uncharacterized. NCBI's taxonomy places the organism in Eukaryota, Metazoa, Arthropoda, Insecta, Diptera, Syrphidae. The transcript is spliced from 2 exons. The record is from RefSeq and is a predicted model, not a curated record.